CAUGUAUUUUCCUGCCUUUCCUAACUCGUUUCUAAUGUCUUAGACUGCCAUUCACAAGAUGGAUCUUGCAGACUUCAGCACAUCUACAGCAUCGGGAACACCAAACGAUGAUGGCCAGAAGGUCGAUAUGUGCCCUCUGAGGAAACACCUUCAAGCAGAACCUCACUUUCUGAUCUUCCUGAAGUCUCAGAAUCCAGAUUACGCACCAUCCCUAUGCGGAAUCAGGACAACCUCCCUCUGAGAAUUCAGAGCCUGCAGGAUGCUUAGUAGGACAUGCCUGGAAUUACACAGAUUAUGCCUCCUUGCAUGGGAGAAGUAGAAAAGUCACAGCAUGGGUUAAAAAUACGCUUGUCUUCUCUCAAUAAUUAAUUGUUUAGGGAUUAACAUGAGGUUUUGUGUUUUGAAAGUAAACUAAUCCACUCGUUGGCUGGUGUGUAAUGAAGGAGAACAGGCUACUGUCAAGCAGGCUGAAAACAGUGAAAAUUAACUACAAGUGCCACGACUCACAUAUUUUAUGUAUAUGAGUAAUGUAUUCUCUGUGGGACAGAAGAUGAAAAUAUCACACAGAAAAGAAAAACACAGUGGCUACAAAUUUAAUAAAACAAGCAGUCAUACUUAGCCUCGCAGUAUAGUCUGGCAUUUUUACUGCCCGAUGGUAUCAAGGUUGGGCCAGUGCAAGAGAAUUCAUGCUCGUGAACUCACAAGAAGCACAAACUUCACUUUCUGCAGCCUCUCUGCUUGCAGAGCUAGCAAAAGGGAAGGAAAAU
Molecule: long non-coding RNA, 767 nt
Filed under: Gallus gallus (chicken)
Lineage: Eukaryota; Metazoa; Chordata; Aves; Galliformes; Phasianidae
Description: long non-coding RNA NONGGAT002570
Source: RNAcentral